This 438-nucleotide ribosomal RNA is filed under the name Clostridioides difficile. RNAcentral's name for it is "bacterial SSU rRNA". It matches the Rfam family "Bacterial small subunit ribosomal RNA", at positions 167 to 624 of the family's 1533-position model. The record is from RNAcentral. Lineage: Bacteria; Bacillati; Bacillota; Clostridia; Peptostreptococcales; Peptostreptococcaceae.
UACGGGAUAAUAUAUUUGAGAGGCAUCUCUUGAAUAUCAAAGGUGAGCCAGUACAGGAUGGACCCGCAUCUGAUUAGCUAGUUGGUAAGGUAACGGCUUACCAAGGCGACGAUCAGUAGCCGACCUGAGAGGGUGAUCGGCCACAUUGGAACUGAGACACGGUCCAAACUCCUACGGGAGGCAGCAGUGGGGAAUAUUGCACAAUGGGCGAAAGCCUGAUGCAGCCACGCCGCGUGCGUGAUGAAGGCCUUCGGGUAGUCACACCCCGUCCUCCAGGAUGAUAAUGACGGCACAUGAGGAGGAAGCCCCGGCUAACUACGUGCCAGCAGCCGCGGUAAUACGGAGGGGGCGGGCGUUAUCCGGAUUUACUGGGCGUAAAGGGUGCGUGAGCGGUCUUUCAUUUCAGGAGUGAAAGGCUACGGCUCAACCGUAGUGAGC